GAGGAUGUAGUCUAAAAUAAGGCAUAAGCUUGUGGUGCUUUUAAUCCGUACUUCGGCGUCCUCU
Molecule: transfer RNA, 64 nt
Filed under: Myosotella myosotis (mouse ear snail)
Lineage: Eukaryota; Metazoa; Mollusca; Gastropoda; Ellobiida; Ellobiidae
Description: tRNA-His
Source: RNAcentral